UCUUUGUUUUCCAGCAGCGCCAGUCCCCGAAUAUGGCCAAUAAUGUAGCUGAGGGGCGGGGAGCAGCUCGGUCUGCAGACCCUGUGAGUCUCAGAGUCUGGCGGAGUGCCGAGGAGAGGCAGCAGGCAGCGGUGGCAGGGAUGGGCUCACACCUCUGAAUCACAAGUCAACCUCCAAUCAAGCAUCUCGGAGACCUGGGACGAAUAGUUGUUUUGUUUUGGGGGAUUUUUCUUUUUCUUUUUUUUUUCCUUGGCGUUUUUUCCCCUGUUGUGCUUAUAAAGACUGGUAGACUAAAGCUACCAUAAAAACAAAAUUAAAAAAAAAAAGGGGAGCGAGAAGGUUUACGGUUGCAUUCCGACGCUCAGCACUCCUGUCGUCUCACCUGCACGGCCGGUGGAGAGGUCCGCUGUGGUAAUAAUGCAUCCAGACAAGCACUUACCUGAACUGGUGGCCGAGAAAAACAGCUUGGACCCGUCCUUUGUGCAUGCAGUGCGUCUGCUCGCAGAAGAGAUUGAAAAGUAUGAUGGUGAUGAAUUGAAAAAAGAUGGUGACAUGAAGAAAUACCUAGAUAUCAUCAGCAAUAAAAAUAUCAAGCUCUCCGAAAGAGUUCUCAUUCCAAUCCAACAGUAUCCAAAGUUUAAUUUUGUCGGGAAGCUGCUCGGACCACGGGGAAAUUCCAUGAAACGAUUACAAGAGGAAACAGGAGUGAAGAUGUCCAUUCUCGGCAAAGGGUCCAUGAGGGAUAAAGGCAAGGAAGAAGAAUUGAGAAAAAGCGGAGAGGCCAAAUAUGCCCAUCUGAGUAAUGAUCUUCAUGUUUUAAUUGAAGUCUUUGCUCCACCUGGAGAGGCGUAUUCCCGCAUGAGUCACGCCUUGGAGGAGAUUAAAAAAUUCCUAGUUCCAGACUACAAUGAUGAGAUCAGACAGGAACAACUGAGAGAGCUCUCCCUGUUGAAUGGUUCUGACGAGUCGAGCAGAGGGAGAAGUGCGCAAGGAAGGAGUGUACGACCAGCAACCACAGUAUCCACGAGGGGCCACAGAGGCACGGGAAGGAGUGCAGCAGCCCCUCGGGGGACAGCAGCAACAUCACACAGCAAACUUCCCACAACUGUUUUAACAAGAGAGGUACAAGCUCCGAGAGCCAGAGGUGCUGCAGGGAGUGCUGGGUACAGGCCCCCACUGUUAGCAGUCACACAUGAAUCAUAUGACGACUAUGGCUACGAUGAUGGGUACGGGGGAGAAUAUGAUGAUGAAAGUUACGAAGCCUAUGAAGAUAACUACAGCAAUCAGUCAAAGAGCAUUUCAGAAUAUUAUGAAUAUGGACAUGUGACCAGUGAUGAAUCCUACAACAACUAUGAGGAGGAGUGGGCGACUACCCGUCCUAGUCUCAAAGCCCCAAUUUUACGACUGACAAGAGGGGGCUACAGAAAACAUCCCUAUGGUAGAUACUGAAGAUUAAGAAACACACUAUUGUGUGUUUUGGUCAAAGCAGACAGGGAGGUAACAGAGCAGCAGGCACAGAAAUCUGCUCCCAGAGGACUGAAGAUUGUACUCUGCCAUCAGACACGUUCGGGCUCGUCAUCAGUCAGGAAAGUAUAGCUUGAGAUAAAAUUGGAUCUGGAGAGGAAGAAUGAGAGAACACAAAACACGAUGGCAAAGACUGACAGUGACUACUGAAAAAGAAGAAGCUACCACCAGCAGCUUCGCACAAAGACUGGAAACAGCGGGAAACAGCUAGCCUGGCUGUUGCUUCAUAUUUUCCAUGGUGGUAUAAAUGCUUUCAUUACACUCUCAACAAGAAAUCUUACUGUCUUGGUGUCACUGACUUGGUAAUGAGACAAGAAAAGUAGACACAUAUGUAAAAAGAUGUAUAUAAUUGAAACUAGAGGUUACACAGCUUGAGUUGAUAUCAACACAUUAUUAGCAGUCAAGUAAUGAUUCCAUCUGCUUAUGUGUUCAGAGACAUCCACAGAUAUGCAACAUGCUGUACCCACUAAUUCAAUCAACUGAGGGAAAACAUGAUGGCUGCACGCUCUUUUGUGCCAACUCUCAUGCUUAGUGCCUUAUUUUCUCCAAUGAUUGCACCUAUUUGUUCUUAACAAGACAAUAAACGCUGAUUUGAAAAGGUUGAGGUAAGAGCGAGGAGGUCUAUCUCCUUCCAUCUCCAUCUCAAGGACGAGCUGAUUGUCUCUGGCUAAAAGCUGCAUCUCUAUACACAACGUGAGCCUGGAUGUCAGACGCUUGUUGACAGAUUAUAACUGGGGGAAUCAUAGGGAGACAGACAGCCAGUGCAUCGGGGGGGAAUUACUGUACUGCAUUUGAGCCAAAAUGUCAGACUCGGUGCUCAAAGGCUUGCUGCAUAUACAAAGUACUGCACACCAAGGACACAGUGUCAUUUGUCAUACAGCUUCAGAAUCAAUUCAGAAAGAUAACAACAUGCAUGUCAUAUGAAUGGCCCUACAUAUUAUUGCAAAGACUGAAAGGAGUAGUUGGAAAUAUGUUUAUUUGCUUUCUUGUUUCUGUCCUUUAAACACGAAGCCACAGCCACAAGAUAGAAAUAGUCAAGAAAUAAAUGAUAAACAGUCUGUAAAAGCACAAGUUGCUCUUUUAAACUAACCAAACAAGUAUUGCUUUAGAGGUGCUCGUAAGCCUAUCUUACCUUAGACCAGAACUAUACUAGCUGUUUCCCCUCCAUUUACACUCUUUAUGCUAAGCUAAGGAAAGGCUUCGGAUUUAGUGUACACACAUGACAGUGGUAACAAUCUUCUCCUCUAAUUCUUGGUGUGAAAACAAAUGGGUACAUGAAAUGUUCAGUUAUGUAUUUAAACAUGUGCAUUUAUUUAGUCCUUUGUUCUUUUUUUUACUCUAAGUACAGUGUUUGUUCCUCUGUUUUCUGUGUGUAUGUUGCAGGUUGUCAUGAAGACAAGUCGCAUUCCUGGUGUACAAUA
Larimichthys crocea (large yellow croaker) is the source of this 2945-nucleotide RNA transcript. It is a transcript of the gene named KH domain containing, RNA binding, signal transduction associated 2, with no coding region annotated. Lineage: Eukaryota; Metazoa; Chordata; Actinopteri; Sciaenidae. The record is from RefSeq and is a predicted model, not a curated record. The transcript has 13 exons.